CACAUGCAAGUCAAGGGGAAAGGUUGUCUUCGGACGGCCGAGUAUACUGGCGAACGGGUGAGUAACGCGUAGGUAACUUGCCUAUCAGUCUGGGAUAAGACUGCUAACGCGGUGCUAAUACCGGGUAUACUGCAUAGAUCGCAUGUUUUUUGCAGGAAAGCGGGCCUCUGGAACAAGCUCGUGCUGAUAGAUAGACCUGCGUCCCAUUAGUUAGUUGGUAGGGUAACGGCCUACCAAGGCAGCGAUGGGUAGCCGGCCUGAGAGGGUGACCGGCCACACUGGGACUGAGAUACGGCCCAGACUCCUACGGGAGGCAGCAGUGAGGAAUAUUGCGCAAUGGACGAAAGUCUGACGCAGCAACGCCGCGUGAGGGAUGAAGCUUUUCGGAGUGUAAACCUCUGUUAGGAGGGAAGAACGUCUAUUAUUCGAACAGGGUGAUAGAGUGACGGUACCUCCAGAGAUAGCCCCUGGCUAGCUCCGUGCCAGCAGCCGCGGUAAUACGGGGGGGGCGA
This 512-nucleotide ribosomal RNA is filed under the name uncultured organism. Its description in RNAcentral is "bacterial SSU rRNA". It matches the Rfam family "Bacterial small subunit ribosomal RNA", at positions 52 to 537 of the family's 1533-position model. The record is from RNAcentral.